Molecule: long non-coding RNA, 335 nt
Filed under: Chlamydomonas reinhardtii
Lineage: Eukaryota; Viridiplantae; Chlorophyta; Chlorophyceae; Chlamydomonadales; Chlamydomonadaceae
Description: long non-coding RNA (CREI_LNC000768)
Source: RNAcentral
CGCGAAGCACUUGACAUAAAUUGGUUUGCACAGGUGAUAUCAUAGAUUCCGUUCCUCUGAAGAGCUGUCACCGUGGGACAUUGCGAAGCAGUAAACAUUGAACACAUAAACGCCUUUCUUUUCUUCUCGACCUAGUGUUGUGCAAACCAAUUCGCUCAUAUGGGCUGGUAACAUGUUGGGAAGCUGUCAGCAGUGGCGGUUCACCGACUCUAUCGACUCCCAGCAGGCACAUGGAGCCAUGGGGUCCUGCACUUGUGGAUAUCUCCCACCCAAGGUGGCCAGUGUGAAGGGCUAUACCUAGUGCUUAGCUGGGAUAUGGCGCAUGUGCGAAUGGG